UUAUGACUCAAAUAAGUGUUUUUUAAAGGUCUUUUUUAAUAUCUCUCCUAGCUGUGCAGUUGAGGAACUAGAGCAGGCACACUGGGGGGUGAUUCUGUUUGGAACACAACCCUACAUCUCCUCUCCUAGCUGUGAGGAACUAGAGCAGGCACACUGGGGGGUGAUUCUGUUUGGAACACAACCCUGCAUCUCCUCUCCUAGCUGUGAGGAACUAGAGCAGGCAUACUGGGGGGUGAUUCUGUUUGGGACACAACCCUGCAUCUCCUCUCCUAGCUGUGUAGUUGAGGAACUAGAGCAGGCACACUGGGGGGUGAUUCUGUUUGGAACACAUCCCUACAUCUCCUCUCCUAGCUGUGUAGUUGAGGAACUAGAGCAGGCACACUGGGGGGUGAUUCUGUUUGGAACACAUCCCUACAUCUCCUCUCCUAGCUGUGUAGUUGAGGAACUAGAGCAGGCACACUGGGGGGUGAUUCUGUUUGGAACACAACCCUACAUCUCCUCUCCUAGCUGUGAGGAACUAGAGCAGG
Molecule: long non-coding RNA, 527 nt
Organism: Oncorhynchus tshawytscha (Chinook salmon)
Lineage: Eukaryota; Metazoa; Chordata; Actinopteri; Salmoniformes; Salmonidae
Source: Ensembl